CAAAAGGCCCUUUUUAGGGCCACCAAAACCUCAAGAAAAGGGUUG
Ovis aries (sheep) is the source of this 45-nucleotide regulatory RNA element. It matches the Rfam family "Histone 3' UTR stem-loop". From Rfam's summary of the family: The mRNAs of metazoan histone genes lack a poly-A tail. 3' end processing occurs at a site between a highly conserved stem-loop (modelled by this family) and a purine rich region around 20 nts downstream (the histone downstream element, or HDE). The stem-loop is bound by a 31 kDa stem-loop binding protein (SLBP - also termed the histone hairpin binding protein, or HBP). NCBI's taxonomy places the organism in Eukaryota, Metazoa, Chordata, Mammalia, Artiodactyla, Bovidae. The record is from Rfam.